This is a non-coding RNA of Amyelois transitella, 774 nucleotides long. The record is from the annotation of a RefSeq genome assembly. Lineage: Eukaryota; Metazoa; Arthropoda; Insecta; Lepidoptera; Pyralidae.
AAAAAAUUUUUAUAGUUUAAAAAAUUUAUUAUAAAUUUAUUUUACAUAUAAAUUUUAGUAAAAAAUUUUAAUUAUUUUAAUAAUAAUUAUAUUAAUUUUGUAGUAAUUAAUUUUAAAUAAUUUAAGAAAUUAAGAUUUAGUAAUAUAAAAAUUAAAAACUGAUUUUGUGCCAGCAGUUGCGGUUAAACAAAAUUUAAAAUAAAUUUUAUUAGUAAAUUAAUUAAUAUUUAAGAUUUAUUUAAUUAAAUAUUAAAUUAUUAGGUGAAAUUUUAAUUUAAUAAAAAAUAAAUUAAAUGAAAUUAAUAAAUUAUAAUAAAAACUAGGAUUAGAUACCCUAUUAUUAAUAAAUUAAAAUUUAAUACUAAAAUAGUAAUUAAUUAUUUAUUGAAAUUUAAAUAAUUUGGCGGUAUUUUAGUUCAUUUAGAGGAAUCUGUUUAAUAAUUGAUAAUCCACGAAUAAAUUUACUUAAUUUACAAUUUUGUAUAUCAUUGUUAAAAAAAUAUUUUUAAUAAAAAAUAAUAUUUAAAAAUUUUAAAUAAAAAUUAAAUCAGAUCAAGAUGCAGAUUAUAAUUAAGAAUAUAAUGGAUUACAAUAAAUUUAUUUAAAUGAAUAUUAAUUUGUAAAAAUUAAUUGAAGGUGGAUUUAAAUGUAAUUUUAAUUAAUUUAUUAAAAUGAUUAAAAAUUAAAAUAUGUACAUAUUGCCCGUCGCUUUCAUAAAUAAAUUGAAAUAAGUCGUAACAAAGUAGAGGUACUGGAAAGUGUUUCUAGAAAGAU